GAGGCACAUGAGAGUGCACCUGCUGAGUCCUGUGCGGAAACAAACAAUCAUCAGCUGGAUUGUUUUACAGAGGCAGCCAACUCUGGAGGAGGAGAGGCUCUCCACCGGAGAGAAGGAAAUGAGUUAAUGGAGGCCACUGGACGGUUCAAGGAUGCUGGGAUUUGGCCUUCCAUCAUCAGCUCAUUCAUGCGUGCUCGGAGUUCCCGGAUAUUCCGUCGUUGAGCCUCAAGUGUCUGCUGCACUGUGUUAAACAUCAUUACAACUGAGUCCUCAUCUCUGUGGGGAGGCGGAGACUUGGAUCCCUGCAGAGCUAUCAGAACUUUCCUCUGGAAAGAGUCCUAGAUGAGCAGGGUAACUUUCCAUAAAACAUCUACAUCCUACACUCACGGCAUCUCCACACUGACGCAGGACAACUCUCUGUCCAUUAAGAUCUGGUGUUGGGCUACAUAAACGAGCUCGGGGUCAUGGCUCCUUCCUCCCUCCCCUGUAAAUUGCUGAUUGAGGGAAUCUGUGGCUACAAUUACUGCAAAGAAAUGUAUAUUCAAGGGUCACCCAAAAUGAAAUUCUCCACCCUGAGUUUUUUCACAGCCAGCCAACCACAUGAAAAUCAGGUUUUCACAUCACUCCAAUCAUUCAGUUUGAGGAGGAUUGAGUGUUGGGGGAAGGACCUGGAGGCUACAGUGAAUCGCAAAUUGAAUAUGAGUCCAGAGUGUGAUGCAGGUGAGAAAAAAGUGAAUUUUCUGGUGUGCACAAACAGGAGUGUCGCACGUAAGAGGUGGGAGGUAAUUGUCCUGCUCUACUGGACACUGGUGAGGCCUUCGCUGGAGAACUGUGCCCAAUUCUGGGAGCCGCACUUUAGGUAAGAUGUGGUCACACAGGAGUGGGUCCAGAGGAGACCAAGAAAAAUGAGAGAGGUUUAGAAAACUGACCUGUGAGGAAAGGUUAAACUCAGGCCAUGUUUAGUUUUGAGAAAAGAAGGGGGGACUUGGGAACAGUCUUUAAAUAUGGUCACAGCUGGUAUAAAGAGGAUGGGGAUCAAUUGUUCUCAUUGGCCACAGAAACCACGGUAAGAAGCAACAGGUUAAAUCUGAAGCCAGAGAGAUUUAGGUUUGACAGCACGAGAAAUUGGGCUCAGCACAGAAAACUCCCCUUCCCUGCAUUUCUACCUGGCUGUCGCCCUGUAGGGCCCUGUCUUCUCCCCAUAUGGCCAACAGGGUCUGAUAAGGAUUGGCAAACCUGUCCCUUGUGCAGCUCUACCAUCAUAUCUCUCUCAGGGAGACAGAAACCCCGUCUGAAGCAGGGAGCUCAGAGCUCGUUCCACAGGCUCCGUCGCCUCCAGGGUGUGUUACCAGAUUUGCCCUUUACUUUGGGGUACGCUCAUUUAUUAGGGUUACUCUUUGUGGGGGGAGGGGUUCUGUAAUUGUAUUAAUGUUCUGCUUGUGUCACUUGUGUUCUCAUACGGAACUCUACUUCUCCAAGCUGCAAGUUCCCUCCCAGUGGAGCUACCCUGCAGGACCUACGUUCCCCGGGGCUCGGUUCUUCCAGCCCCCGAAUCAGAUGAACGCACACACACACACACACACACACACACACAGUGUGUCUAUGAUGACUGAGUUAAUCAGCACUCCCAAGCUGACCCCUUAUAUGUCCCUGGACUCAAUGGGCUAGGCCGAGCAGCGCUUUCAAGCUUCCACCCUCAUAUGCCCCAGGUUCAGCGUGUCCCUAUCCCCAUGUCCACGUUACAAUUGUUCUGGUCGUAACCCACUGGAUGAGGAAACCCCACAGGAUUUUUGGGCUCUGCAGGGGUCUUUAGCUUAGGUAUGAGGAGAGUGGCUGCAGAGCGAAUGGGGAAGCCAAAAACACUCAUGAGAGAGAGUGUGGGGAUUCUCACCUCUCCGUGAAGCUUGAAUCGACCAGGGUUCCCAGGUGAUGGU
Trachemys scripta elegans is the source of this 1934-nucleotide RNA transcript. RefSeq lists it as uncharacterized. The transcript has 5 exons. The record is from RefSeq and is a predicted model, not a curated record. NCBI's taxonomy places the organism in Eukaryota, Metazoa, Chordata, Testudines, Emydidae.